CUUUGGUUUGUGAGAUUUUAGCCAAAAACUGCAUUUUACCCUAUGUACUAUUGUUAGCCAUGUCGGCCAUCUUGGUUUCGCAGGCAGGGUAGGACACAUUUUUUAAACUAGAUACCUAAUGAUGAUUGCAGCCAAGUUUGGUUAAAUUUGUCUAAGUUUCAGAGAAGAAGAUUUUUGUACAAGAUAUCAAAAUUUACGAAAAAUUGACUAUAAAGGGCAAUAACUCCUUACGGGGUCAACUGACCAUUUUGGUCAUGUUGAUUUUUUUGUA
Molecule: long non-coding RNA, 271 nt
Filed under: Mytilus galloprovincialis (Mediterranean mussel)
Lineage: Eukaryota; Metazoa; Mollusca; Bivalvia; Mytilida; Mytilidae
Source: RNAcentral